AGCUAACAAGUUACGUAACCACGACCAACCUUGACGUUACGGAUUGGUAAUGUCAAAAAAAACAAAAAAAAUCUAUAUAUAUAUAUAUAUAUAUAUAUAUAAGAUAUACCUGGCAAACUAGCUACUGCAGCCAGCAAACUGUACUGUAUGACUACGUUAAACAAACAUCCGUUUAGUUCGGCAAGCCGACAUCAAGGAAUCUCAGGUGCUGAGUGCUGCAGAGAGGGUGAUCCGCCAAGCUUCACCAAUGCCAGCUCCUAAGGUGUCGACAGUCACAGACAUCGUCCGGCAGGAGAUUGGAACGGAGGAUGUUUUUCUGCUUGGGGAACACAUUGAGGAGACUCAGUUUGGCAUCGACAACCAUCAUUCUGACUUGUUGUCAUUGGUUGUGUCUGUGUUUCUCAAAAUAAGGCUGCACCACAUUACCA
Esox lucius (northern pike) is the source of this 428-nucleotide long non-coding RNA. Lineage: Eukaryota; Metazoa; Chordata; Actinopteri; Esociformes; Esocidae. The record is from Ensembl.